RNAcentral lists this ribosomal RNA (350 nucleotides) under uncultured bacterium. RNAcentral describes it as "bacterial SSU rRNA". It matches the Rfam family "Bacterial small subunit ribosomal RNA", at positions 355 to 696 of the family's 1533-position model. The record is from RNAcentral.
UGGGGAAUAUUGCGCAAUGGGCGAAAGCCUGACGCAGCAAUGCCGCGUGAGUGAGGAAGGUCUUCGGAUUGUAAAGCUCUGUCAGGGUGGAAAAAAGGGUACUUUUCGAAUAGGGAAGUAUUUUGAUGGUACACCCAAAGGAAGCACCGGCUAACUUCGUGCCAGCAGCCGCGGUAAUACGAAGGGUGCAAGCGUUGUUCGGAUUUAUUGGGCGUAAAGCGCGCGCAGGCGGAUAGAUAAGUCAGGUGUGAAAUCUCGGGGCUCAACUCCGAAACUGCGCCUGAAACUGUUUAUCUAGAAUACAAGAGAGGAGAAGGGAAUUUCACAUGUAGGAGUAAAAUCCGUAGAGA